Vicia faba (fava bean) is the source of this 205-nucleotide non-coding RNA. NCBI's taxonomy places the organism in Eukaryota, Viridiplantae, Streptophyta, Magnoliopsida, Fabales, Fabaceae. The record is from the annotation of a GenBank genome assembly.
AUGUACAGAUCAGUCUCCCAUUUCUCCACUAUAGUCCAAUACCAAUACAACAAAAUCGUGUACAGAUCAGUCUCCUAUUCCUCUACUAUAGACCAGUACCAAUACAGCAAAAUCGUUUACAGAGCAGUCUCCCAUUUUUCCACUAUAGACCAGUACCAAUACAGCAAAAUCGUUUACAGAGCAGUCUCCCAUUUCUCCACUAUAG